ACGCACGCUGGCGGCGUGCUUAACCCCUGCCAGUCGCACGGAAAGGCCCUGCUUUUGUGGGGUGCUCGAGUGGCGAACGGGUGAGUAACACGUGAGUAACCUGCCCUUGACUUUGGGAUAACUUCAGGAAACUGGGGCUAAUACCGGAUAGGAGCUCCUGCUGCAUGGUGGGGGUUGGAAAGUUUCGGCGGUUGGGGAUGGACUCGCGGCUUAUCGGCUUGUUGGUGGGGUAGUGGCUUACCAAGGCUUUGACGGGUAGCCGGCCUGAGAGGGUGACCGGCCACAUUGGGACUGAGAUACGGCCCAGACUCCUACGGGAGGCAGCAGUGGGGAAUAUUGCACAAUGGGCGGAAGCCUGAUGCAGCAACGCCGCGUGCGGGAUGACGGCCUUCGGGUUGUAAACCGCUUUCGCCUGUGACGAAGCGUGAGUGACGGUAAUGGGUAAAGAAGCACCGGCUAACUACGUG
This 467-nucleotide ribosomal RNA is filed under the name uncultured bacterium. Its description in RNAcentral is "partial 16S ribosomal RNA". It matches the Rfam family "Bacterial small subunit ribosomal RNA", at positions 29 to 507 of the family's 1533-position model. The record is from RNAcentral.